RNAcentral lists this transfer RNA (74 nucleotides) under Ixodes scapularis (black-legged tick). Its description in RNAcentral is "tRNA-Ser". It matches the Rfam family "tRNA". From Rfam's summary of the family: Transfer RNA (tRNA) molecules are approximately 80 nucleotides in length. Their secondary structure includes four short double-helical elements and three loops (D, anti-codon, and T loops). Further hydrogen bonds mediate the characteristic L-shaped molecular structure. tRNAs have two regions of fundamental functional importance: the anti-codon, which is responsible for specific mRNA codon recognition, and the 3' end, to which the tRNAs corresponding amino acid is attached (by aminoacyl-tRNA synthetases). tRNAs cope with the degeneracy of the genetic code in two manners: having more than one tRNA (with a specific anti-codon) for a particular amino acid; and 'wobble' base-pairing, i.e. permitting non-standard base-pairing at the 3rd anti-codon position. The record is from RNAcentral. Lineage: Eukaryota; Metazoa; Arthropoda; Arachnida; Ixodida; Ixodidae.
GCCCUGGUUAGCUCAGUCGGUAGAGCACUCCACUGGAAAUGGAGAGGUCCCGGGUUCGAUACCCGGACCAGGCG